Molecule: small nuclear RNA, 107 nt
Filed under: Echinops telfairi (small Madagascar hedgehog)
Lineage: Eukaryota; Metazoa; Chordata; Mammalia; Afrosoricida; Tenrecidae
Source: RNAcentral
GUGCUCACUUCGGCAGCACGUAUACUAAAAUUGGAACGAUACAGAGAAUAUUAGCAUGGACCCUGCACAAGGAUAACACGCAAAUUCAUGAAGCAUCCCAUAUUUUU